ACUGGACCCAUUAAAAGACGGUCAGGUGCGAAAGCGUGGGGAGCAAACAGGAUUUAGAUUACCUUGGUUGUCCAUGCCGUCAACGAUGAAUGUUAGCCGUUGGGGAGUUUACUCUUCGGUGGCUCAGCUAACGCAUUAAACAUUCCGCCUGGGGAGUACGGUCGCUAGAUUAAAACUCAAAUGGAAUUGAACGGGGGGCCCGACACAACACGGUGGAGUCAUGUGAUGUUAAUUUAAUAGCAACGCAGCAGAACCUUACCUAGCCCUUGACAUACCAGGUCGCGGAACACAGAGAUGUGUCUUUCAGUUCUGGCUGGACCGGAUACAGGUGCUGCAUGGCAGUCGUCAGCUCAGUGUCGUGAGAUGUUGGGUUAAGUCCAGUCAACGAGCGCAACCCUACCCUUUAGUUGCCAGCAUUUAGUUGGGCACUCUAAGGGGACUGCCGGUGAUAAGCCGAGAGGAAGGUGGGGAUGACGUCAAGUCUUCAUGGCCCUUACGGGCUGGGCUACACACUUGUUACAAUGGUGGUGACAGUGGGCAGCGAGCACGCGAGUGUGAGUUAAUCUCCAAAAGCCAUCUCAGUUCGGAUUGCAGUCUGCAACUCGAGUGCGUGAAGUUGGAAUCGCUAGUAAUCGCGGAUCAGCAUGUCGCGGUGAAUACGUUCCCGGGCCUUGUACACACCGCCCGUCACACCAUGGGAGUUGGUUUACCAGAAGGGUUAGCCUAACCGCAAGGAGGCAGGCGACCUAUAGAGUUGCGGG
RNAcentral lists this ribosomal RNA (761 nucleotides) under Brucella tritici. RNAcentral's name for it is "bacterial SSU rRNA". It matches the Rfam family "Bacterial small subunit ribosomal RNA", at positions 728 to 1471 of the family's 1533-position model. The record is from RNAcentral. Lineage: Bacteria; Pseudomonadati; Pseudomonadota; Alphaproteobacteria; Hyphomicrobiales; Brucellaceae.